Non-coding RNA from Struthio camelus australis, 370 nucleotides. The record is from RefSeq and is a predicted model, not a curated record. Lineage: Eukaryota; Metazoa; Chordata; Aves; Struthioniformes; Struthionidae.
AGCAAAGUCAAUAGAGACUCCAAAGCGCCCAGCGGGAGCCCGCGGAUCGACCGCAGCAUGCGCAGGGCAGAGCCCAGCAAAAGCUGAAGCACAUGAUAAGGUGACAGUUUUCCAUGCGACAGCAUGCCUGUGGACUACCUGGCGACCACUGCAGUGUUUCCCAAAGGGUUGCAUGCUUUCUAGCUGCUCAGUUUGAUGCCAGGUGCACCACAGUGUCCACCUCCUCUGCAGAGUGGGAAGUCGCUGCGCUGCCAAGGCAAAUGUCAGGAGGUCUUGUCCUGCUGGGCUUCUCCUCAGAGGACUUUCCAAGAGUUUCACCUACAUGAAGAGCAGGAGGCUGUGGAGCAAAUAAGAGAAGAGCCACUGUUCC